Long non-coding RNA from Arabidopsis thaliana (thale cress), 279 nucleotides. RefSeq annotates it as other RNA. The record is from RefSeq. The transcript has a single exon. NCBI's taxonomy places the organism in Eukaryota, Viridiplantae, Streptophyta, Magnoliopsida, Brassicales, Brassicaceae.
AUGCGUUGUCCUGAGUUCUGACUUAAGCAUCAUUGAUCGAGUCUCUUAGUAUAGUCUGAAACUUGAAACUUGUUUUUCAUUUUUCUUUGAUUGUGUCUAAAUUAAAGUUUGAUAUACAUUUGGAGUUAGAUAUUACUGCGAGGGCCUCUAUCAAUUGCCGUGUAAUACUAUCAAUUGCGUAAGACGACGUGAUAUUUAUGCAUGCAAUUAUAGAAAGUUUGAAGACGCGUUAAUGUGUAUAAAACAACAUCGUAUAGUGCAUUCUUGAUGAAAAAGUUU